UACAGAGGUCUCAAGCGUUGUUCGGAUUCAUUGGGCGUAAAGGGUGCGUAGGCGGCGCGGUAAGUCGGGUGUGAAAUCUUGGAGCUUAACUCCGAAACUGCAUUCGAUACUGCCGUGCUUGAGGACUGGAGAGGAGACUGGAAUUUACGGUGUAGCGGUGAAAUGCGUAGAUAUCGUAAAGAAGACCAGUGGCGAAGGCGGGUCUCUGGACAGUUCCUGACGCUGAGGCACGAAGGCCAGGGGAGCAAACGGG
RNAcentral lists this ribosomal RNA (253 nucleotides) under uncultured bacterium. RNAcentral's name for it is "partial 16S ribosomal RNA". It matches the Rfam family "Bacterial small subunit ribosomal RNA", at positions 524 to 776 of the family's 1533-position model. The record is from RNAcentral.